Molecule: long non-coding RNA, 1191 nt
Filed under: Homo sapiens (human)
Lineage: Eukaryota; Metazoa; Chordata; Mammalia; Primates; Hominidae
Description: non-protein coding LINC00312:4
Source: RNAcentral
ACCAUCCUUAUUUAUUUUAAUGCUCAAAUUGUCCCAAAUUAUGGCCAAAGAAAGCUCCUUCAAACUGGUUGCUAUGUCCUUUUGACAUGGCCCAUCAUUCUUUAAACACAUUUUACAUCUGGCACAAUAACGUGCUACAUACCCAUCUUGUAUUUUUCCUGCCCCAUCUUUGAAAUCAGCCAUUCUCAAGGGGUUCCUUCUUAAUCUGGCUGUUGUUGUGUUGGAACUCCUGGUACCAUCUUAGAACCUUAAGGAGACAAGCGAACCAAGCCAAUAAGCUUUCCAUGAUGCUGCUUAGAGUUAAACAGAGCCCAGGUACUAAGUUAUGUCAUGGAGACAGUGAACUAACCUCUGGACUGCUUGCUACAUGAGACAAUUGAUUUUCUUAUUUUCUAUGUAGGGUGGUACAUUUCCUCAUUUUGAGAUAUUUCUUCAACAUAUAGCUUUUCAUUAGUGGGGAUUUUGUCAAUUAUAACCAAAAACAAUGUGACGGAUACCCAAGAUGUUUCAUGUUGUAGCUUGGGUGAAUUACACAUUUCUGAAGCCAUUACACUUCCUAGUUUAUUUGGAUUUAAGUUGACAAAUAAAAAUUGCAUAUGUUUAUGGUCUAUAACAUGGUGUUUCGAUAUAUGUAUACAUCGUGGAAUGGCUAAAUCAAGCUAACAUAUCCAUUACCUCACAUAGUUAUUUUUUGUGGUGAGAACAUUUUAAAAAUAUUGUCUUAGCAAUUUUCAAUCAAGCCUGUCCCAUGGAGACACAAGCAAUAGUGACAUGAGCACUUGACUCGCUGGGUUAUCAGGCUUUGGCUCCAAAUGUUUGGCUUCAAAUAUGAAAAAGUUACAUGAAAGAUGAAACUAUGCAAUGGCAUGGCUGUUGGUCAUUCACAUCUCUCUCUGCCAAGAAUGGGGAUGACGCUGUUGAAGGAAGAAAUGUGUUUUCUCCUUUUUCUCAAGUGAUAUUUGCCUUAGGUCAGAUUCUACUAGUUUAAAGCAAAACGAUCUCCUGGUCUGAUUCCUUUGGGUCUCUAAUAAUGGAAACUGCAAGGAUCAGCAUAAAGUGUUCCUUUGUUCUGACGUUGGUAUAACAUUGCUUCUUGAAAAAUGAAAGUAUUUGGACAUACAGACAGAAGCAAUAUUAUUCAGGUCUUCCUUGUUGCAAGUGAGGGAAAUCCAAUUAAAACUGGUUUAAACC